Molecule: ribosomal RNA, 711 nt
Filed under: Candidatus Regiella insecticola
Lineage: Bacteria; Pseudomonadati; Pseudomonadota; Gammaproteobacteria; Enterobacterales; Enterobacteriaceae
Description: partial 23S ribosomal RNA
Rfam family: Eukaryotic large subunit ribosomal RNA
Source: RNAcentral
UAAUCGAACCGUCUAGUAGCUGGUUCCCUCCGAAGUUUCCCUCAGGAUAGCUGGCACUCGGAUUCUUUCAUCCGGUAAAGCGAAUGAUUAGAGGCCUUAGGGUCGAAAUGAUUUUAACCUAUUCUCAAACUUUAAAUGGGUGAGAACUUUGGCUUUCUUGAAUGAAGCUAAAAGAUUCUUAGAAAAAGAGUGCCUAGUGGGCCAAUUUUGGUAAGCAGAACUGGCGCUGUGGGAUGAACCAAACGCCGAGUUAAAGCGCCUAAGCGAACGCAUAUGUGGAAACCAUGAAAGGCGUUGGUUGCUGAAGACAGCAGGACGGUGGCCAUGGAAGUCGAAAUCCGCUAAGGAGUGUGUAACAACUCACCUGCCGAAGCAACUAGCCCUUAAAAUGGACGGCGCUAAAGCGUUCCGCUUAUACUCGGCCGUCAGUGCAUUGGGCAUCUUGAUGUCUUGAAGCAUUGAUGAGUAGGAGGGUCGCGUCGGUGUGCGCAGAAGGGUCUGGGCGUGAGCCUGCCUGGAGCCGCCGACGGUGCAGAUCUUGGUGGUAGUAGCAAAUACUCCAGAGAGGCCCUGGAGGACUGAUGUGGUAGAAGGGUUUCGUGUGAACAGCCGUUGCACACGAGUCAGUCGAUCCUAAGCCCUAGGAGAAAUCCGAAGUCGAUGCGCGAGUCUUGCUAUGCUUUUUGCCCUGUGCGAAAAACAAACAGAGGU